Pelobates cultripes (western spadefoot toad) is the source of this 94-nucleotide non-coding RNA. Lineage: Eukaryota; Metazoa; Chordata; Amphibia; Anura; Pelobatidae. The record is from the annotation of a GenBank genome assembly.
GUUAGGGUUAGGAGUAGGGUUAGGGUUAGAGUUGGGUUAGGGGUAAAGGUACCCCUUCCCUAACUCUACCCCUAACCCUACUCCUAACCCUAAC